RNAcentral lists this ribosomal RNA (497 nucleotides) under uncultured bacterium. RNAcentral describes it as "partial 16S ribosomal RNA". It matches the Rfam family "Bacterial small subunit ribosomal RNA", at positions 28 to 507 of the family's 1533-position model. The record is from RNAcentral.
GAUGAACGCUGGCGGCGUGCCUAAUACAUGCAAGUCGAGCGAACAGACGAGGAGCUUGCUCCUCUGACGUUAGCGGCGGACGGGUGAGUAACACGUGGAUAACCUACCUAUAAGACUGGGAUAACUUCGGGAAACCGGAGCUAAUACCGGAUAAUAUAUUGAACCGCAUGGUUCAAUAGUGAAAGACGGUUUUGCUGUCACUUAUAGAUGGAUCCGCGCCGCAUUAGCUAGUUGGUAAGGUAACGGCUUACCAAGGCGACGAUGCGUAGCCGACCUGAGAGGGUGAUCGGCCACCCUGGAACUUGGACACGGUCCAGACUCCUACGGGAGGCAGCAGUAGGGAAUCUUCCGCAAUGGGCGAAAGCCUUACGGAGCAACGCCGCGUGAGUGAUGAAGGUCUUCGGAUCGUAAAACUCUGUUAUUAGGGAAGAACAAAUGUGUAAGUAACUAUGCACGUCUUGACGGUACCUAAUCAGAAAGCCACGGCUAACUACGUG